CAGGGCCAGCAUUGCCUAUGCGCUGCGGCUAAAGCGUCACCGCGGUCUCCAUCCUGGGCCUCCUACUGUUGCUGGGGACCUGUGUACUGGCAGAGAGGAUCAGAAUUCACUGACAAAUUAAGGAGCCAUCUGGGCGUCAUUUUCUGCAGAAAGAAGAUUUAGCUGACAAAGUCACAGCGAUUUCAUCUCUCACAGUUGAAGAGUACCUAUGAAAAAAAUUACAGACAU
Molecule: long non-coding RNA, 228 nt
Organism: Hyla sarda
Lineage: Eukaryota; Metazoa; Chordata; Amphibia; Anura; Hylidae
Exons: 3
Source: RefSeq, a predicted model, not a curated record